This 745-nucleotide ribosomal RNA is filed under the name uncultured bacterium. Its description in RNAcentral is "bacterial SSU rRNA". It matches the Rfam family "Bacterial small subunit ribosomal RNA", at positions 33 to 773 of the family's 1533-position model. The record is from RNAcentral.
ACGCUGGCGGCAGGCCUAACACAUGCAAGUCGAGCGGUAGAGAGAAGCUUGCUUCUCUUGAGAGCGGCGGACGGGUGAAUAAUGCCUAGGAAUCUGCCUGGUAGUGGGGGAUAACGUUCGGAAACGGACGCUAAUACCGCAUACGUCCUACAGGAGAAAGCAGGGGACCUUCGGGCCUUGCGCUAUCAGAUGAGCCUAGGUCGGAUUAGCUAGUUGGUGGGGUAAUGGCUCACCAAGGCGACGAUCCGUAACUGGUCUGAGAGGAUGAUCAGUCACACUGGAACUGAGACACGGUCCAGACUCCUACGGGAGGCAGCAGUGGGGAAUAUUGGACAAUGGGCGAAAGCCUGAUCCAGCCAUGCCGCGUGUGUGAAGAAGGUCUUCGGAUUGUAAAGCACUUUAAGUUGGGAGGAAGGGCAGUUGCCUAAUACGUAACUGUUUUGACGUUACCGACAGAAUAAGCACCGGCUAACUCUGUGCCAGCAGCCGCGGUAAUACAGAGGGUGCAAGCGUUAAUCGGAAUUACUGGGCGUAAAGCGCGCGUAGGUGGUUUGUUAAGUUGGAUGUGAAAUCCCCGGGCUCAACCUGGGAACUGCAUUCAAAACUGACUGACUAGAGUAUGGUAGAGGGUGGUGGAAUUUCCUGUGUAGCGGUGAAAUGCGUAGAUAUAGGAAGGAACACCAGUGGCGAAGGCGACCACCUGGACUAAUACUGACACUGAGGUGCGAAAGCGUGGGGAGCAAAC